RNAcentral lists this ribosomal RNA (259 nucleotides) under uncultured bacterium. Its description in RNAcentral is "partial 16S ribosomal RNA". It matches the Rfam family "Bacterial small subunit ribosomal RNA", at positions 524 to 779 of the family's 1533-position model. The record is from RNAcentral.
UACGAAGGGGGGCUAGCGUUGCUCGGAAUGACUGGGCGUAAAGGGCGCGUAGGCGGAUUGUACAGUCAGGCGUGAAAUUCCCGGGCUCAACCUGGGGGCUGCGCUUGAGACGUGCGAUCUUAGUGGGGAAGAGGGUCGUGGGAAUUCCCAGUGUAGAGGUGAAAUUCGUAGAUAUUGGGAAGAACACCGGUGGCGAAGGGCGGCGACCUGGUCCUUGACUGACGCUGAGGCGCGAAAGCGUGGGGGAGCAAACAGGAUU